Schistocerca americana (American grasshopper) is the source of this 818-nucleotide long non-coding RNA. RefSeq lists it as uncharacterized. The transcript has 5 exons. NCBI's taxonomy places the organism in Eukaryota, Metazoa, Arthropoda, Insecta, Orthoptera, Acrididae. The record is from RefSeq and is a predicted model, not a curated record.
ACUGCUCGCCGCCACACGCCGCCGCCGGCCGCCGCCUCCGCGCCUCCUGCCACCCUCACAGGUUGCUGGCGCGCUGGUAAUAGCGUCUGCGUUGACCGUCGCCAGCACGCCUCCUUCCAAACAAGCUCCUACCGAGGGGCGCGCGCUCCCUUUGUGUAAAGUUAACAACGUCAGAGACGCCGAGGCAUCCGAGCUUAAUGCGACUAACAACACUUCACAGAGGCUAGACGCUUUCAUCGGACCGCGGAGUAGAAAAAUCUUCUCCUUGCUCCUACAAUCGGGUAUGUGGGAUUUGAGGACGAAGAGAAUACUGAAGCUGACGGCAGUUGUGGGCGGCGUGUUCAUAAGAGAGCCAACAGAAUGACAACAGCAUCAAUGUCACAGCGACAACCUCCAUCACGAAGAACAGAGUUGCUGUUGCUGGUGAAAAUACUAAUGCCACUGGUGAUGCUUUAUUCCUGUUGAUAUCAGUUAACUGCUGCGGGUGCUGGAUGAAAGAAUAACAGUGGAGAAUUUACAGAGGAUGGAGACAUGCACAAUACGAUGAAUUUUGGUGGUGUCAGCACCUGCAUUUUGUAGGCCUACGUCAAGAUUACAGUCGCUCUGUCUAGGACUCAACAGGUCUCACUGCCCUACAGCCGUUGCUGUGUAAAUGAAACGGAGAAUGUUCUCUGAAAUGGCAGCAGCAAAACAUUCUUUUGUACUAACUUCCCCGUAAUCCGAAGACUUCAAAGGACAGGAACAUCCUAAGAAAUCAGUUCGUCGGCCUUUACACAUAUUAAAGAUAGUAAAAUACAUGAUACUUCACACUAAUAAAG